GAUGAACGCUGGCGGCGUGCCUAAUACAUGCAAGUCGAGCGAACGGACGAGAAGCUUGCUUCUCUGAUGUUAGCGGCGGACGGGUGAGUAACACGUGGAUAACCUACCUAUAAGACUGGGAUAACUUCGGGAAACCGGAGCUAAUACCGGAUAAUAUUUUGAACCGCAUGGUUCAAAAGUGAAAGACGGUCUUGCUGUCACUUAUAGAUGGAUCCGCGCUGCAUUAGCUAGCUGGUAAGGUAACGGCUUACCAAGGCAACGAUGCAUAGCCGACCUGAGAGGGGGUAGCGCCACCGUGAACCUGAACCGCGGUCCAGCCUCCCAGGGGGGGGAAAGAUGGGGAAUUUUCCCAAUGGGGGGAAAGCCUGCGGGAGCACCCCCGGGUGGGGGAAGAAGUUUUGGGGUUGGUAAAACUGUUUUAUUGGGGAAAAAAAUUUGUGAAAGUAACGUUGCACUCCUGACGGGAACCUAAAAAGAAAGCCCGGCUAAAUAACGG
This 496-nucleotide ribosomal RNA is filed under the name uncultured bacterium. RNAcentral's name for it is "partial 16S ribosomal RNA". It matches the Rfam family "Bacterial small subunit ribosomal RNA", at positions 28 to 507 of the family's 1533-position model. The record is from RNAcentral.